GGGAUCCAGGUGUUGGUGUUUUCCUGCUCCACCAGCUGGAUUUCAGGACCUCCCCCUGAUAUCCUAUGAUGCAUGGCUUGUGUUCACCUAAAAAGGACGAACCUUAUAUUUUGUAAACGAGAAGGCGCAAAGGAAAAAAGAAUGUAUUUUAAUUCAGCAAGUUUUAUUUUUUAUAUUGACAUGUUCUGAAUGGAGCCCCAAACAUUUGCUGAUGAGAAAAAGGGAGAAGGCAGAGAGGCAGAAAGUAGAAAGCAUAAUGGCUCAUCAAUGAGGAAGGGGCAUGGAUGAUGAUGGCUUUCUGCCACUUGACUGAAGGUUGUCAGUUGUCUAAGGUCUAAUACUUAACAAUGAUGAAACUGAAAAGUAUGACCUUCUAUCAAGCUCUUAAUUAACUUUUCUUAUUUCCUUCAUUCAAAAUGAAUUUGAGACAGUGUCUUAAAAAUCCAUUCAUAUUAAUCAUUAAUCAGUUCAGCUGCAGGCUUCCAUUGGUCAACCUGGUGAUUGAAUUAUUGAAAGCUUUUAUUGAUGUCCUGCUACUCCUUACAGAUACAAUAAGAAUGCUGGCAA
Non-coding RNA from Phascolarctos cinereus (koala), 567 nucleotides. Lineage: Eukaryota; Metazoa; Chordata; Mammalia; Diprotodontia; Phascolarctidae. The record is from RefSeq and is a predicted model, not a curated record.